Molecule: ribosomal RNA, 595 nt
Filed under: Hepatozoon canis
Lineage: Eukaryota; Apicomplexa; Hepatozoidae
Description: SSU rRNA
Rfam family: Eukaryotic small subunit ribosomal RNA
Source: RNAcentral
GCAUGCUUUUACAGUAUGGAAAUUGGUGAUUUAUAAUAACUUGGCAAAUCGCAAAGUGAAAACAGGCGAUAAAUCAUUCAAGUUUCUGACCUAUCAGCUUUCGACGGUAUGGUAUUGGCUUACCGUGGCAGUGACGGUUAACGGGGGAUUAGGGUUCGAUUCCGGAGAGGGAGCCUGAGAAACGGCUACCACAUCUAAGGAAGGCAGCAGGCGCGCAAAUUACCCAAUUCUAACAGUUUGAGAGAGGUAGUAACAAGAAAUAACAAUACAAGGCAAUUAAAAUGCUUUGUAAUUGGAAUGAUAGAAAUUUAAACCCUUUUUAAAGUAUCAAUUGGAGGGCAAGUCUGGUGCCAGCAGCCGCGGUAAUUCCAGCUCCAAUAGCGUAUAUUAAAAUUGUUGCAGUUAAAAAGCUCGUAGUUGAAGUUCUGCUAAAAGUAACCGGUCUGCUUUUAAUAAAAGUGGUAUCUUGGUGUGUAUUUAGCAAUGAUGUCCUUUGAAGUGUUUUUUACUUUAUUGUAAUAAAGCAUAUUCAGGACUUUUACUUUGAGAAAAUUAGAGUGUUUCUAGCAGGCCGACGCUUUGAAUACUGCAGCAU